CGCAUGCCACGCUUUUGAAAGAUGGUUUCGGCUAUCGCUUACAGAUGGGCCCGCGGUGCAUUAGCUAGUUGGUAGGGUAAUGGCCUACCAAGGCAACGAUGCAUAGCCGACCUGAGAGGGUGAUCGGCCACACUGGGACUGAGACACGGCCCAGACUCCUACGGGAGGCAGCAGUAGGGAAUCUUCCGCAAUGGACGAAAGUCUGACGGAGCAACGCCGCGUGUAUGAAGAAGGUUUUCGGAUCGUAAAGUACUGUUGUUAGAGAAGAACAAGGAUAAGAGUAACUGCUUGUCCCUUGACGGUAUCUAACCAGAAAGCCACGGCUAACUACGUGCCAGCAGCCGCGGUAAUACGUAGGUGGCAAGCGUUGUCCGGAUUUAUUGGGCGUAAAGCGCGCGCAGGCGGUCUUUUAAGUCUGAUGUGAAAGCCCCCGGCUUAACCGGGGAGGGUCAUUGGAAACUGGAAGACUGGAGUGCAGAAGAGGAGAGUGGAAUUCCACGUGUAGCGGUGAAAUGCGUAGAUAUGUGGAGGAACACCAGUGGCGAAGGCGACUCUCUGGUCUGUAACUGACGCUGAGGCGCGAAAGCGUGGGGAGCAAACAGGAUU
RNAcentral lists this ribosomal RNA (606 nucleotides) under Listeria monocytogenes. RNAcentral describes it as "bacterial SSU rRNA". It matches the Rfam family "Bacterial small subunit ribosomal RNA", at positions 187 to 779 of the family's 1533-position model. The record is from RNAcentral. Lineage: Bacteria; Bacillati; Bacillota; Bacilli; Caryophanales; Listeriaceae.